Molecule: ribosomal RNA, 467 nt
Filed under: uncultured bacterium
Lineage: Bacteria
Description: partial 16S ribosomal RNA
Rfam family: Bacterial small subunit ribosomal RNA
Source: RNAcentral
ACGAACGCUGGCGGCGUGCUUCACACAUGCAAGUCGAACGGAAAGGCCCUGCUUUUGUGGGGUGCUCGAGUGGCGAACGGGUGAGUAACACGUGAGUAACCUGCCCUUGACUUUGGGAUAACUUCAGGAAACUGGGGCUAAUACCGGAUAGGAGCUCCUGCUGCAUGGUGGGGGUUGGAAAGUUUCGGCGGUUGGGGAUGGACUCGCGGCUUAUCAGCUUGUUGGUGGGGUAGUGGCUUACCAAGGCUUUGACGGGUAGCCGGCCUGAGAGGGUGACCGGGGACAGGGGGACUGAGAUAGGGCCCAGACGGCGACGGGAGGCAGCAGGGGGGAGUAUGGCACAAUGGGCGGGAGCGUGAGGCAGCAGCGCGGGGGGCGGGAUGACGGCCUUCGGGGUGUAAACCGCUGUCGGGUGUGACGAAGCGGGAGUGACGGUAAUGGGUAAAGAAGCACCGGCUAACUACGUG